UACAGAGGUGGCAAGCGUUGUUCGGAUUCAUUGGGCGUAAAGGGUUCGUAGGCGGUUCGUAAAGUUGGAUGUGAAAGCCCACAGCUUAACUGUGGAACUGCAUUCAAAACUCACGGACUUGAGUGUGAGAGGGGUAAAGGGAAUUCCUGGUGUAAGGGUGAAAUCUGCAGAGAUCAGGAAGAAAACCAGUCGCGAAGGCGCUUUACUGGCUCAUUACUGACGCUGAGGGACGAAAGCUAGGGUAGCGAACGGG
Molecule: unclassified non-coding RNA, 253 nt
Filed under: uncultured bacterium
Lineage: Bacteria
Description: contains 16S-23S intergenic spacer region
Rfam family: Bacterial small subunit ribosomal RNA
Source: RNAcentral